This 253-nucleotide ribosomal RNA is filed under the name uncultured prokaryote. Its description in RNAcentral is "partial 16S ribosomal RNA". It matches the Rfam family "Bacterial small subunit ribosomal RNA", at positions 525 to 777 of the family's 1533-position model. The record is from RNAcentral.
ACGGAGGGGGCCAGCGUUGUUCGGAAUCAUUGGGCGUAAAGGGCGCGUAGGUGGCCGCGCAAGUCAGAGGUGAAAUCCCUCGGCCCAACCGAGGAACUGCCUCUGAAACUGCGCGGCUCGAGUCCCGGAGAGGGCAGUGGAAUUCCCAGUGUAGCGGUGAAAUGCGUAGAUAUUGGGAGGAACACCGGUGGCGAAGGCGGCUGCCUGGACGGGUACUGACGCUGAUGCGCGAAAGCGUGGGGAGCAAACAGGA